Molecule: ribosomal RNA, 446 nt
Filed under: uncultured bacterium
Lineage: Bacteria
Description: bacterial SSU rRNA
Rfam family: Bacterial small subunit ribosomal RNA
Source: RNAcentral
GCCAGACUCCUACGGGAGGCAGCAGUGGGGAAUAUUGCACAAUGGGGGAAACCCUGAUGCAGCGACGCCGCGUGAGUGAAGAAGUCAUUCGUGAUGUAAAGCUCUAUCAGCAGGGAAGAAAAUGACGGUACCUGACCAAGAAGCCCCGGCUAACUACGUGCCAGCAGCCGCGGUAAUACGUAGGGGGCAAGCGUUAUCCGGAUUUACUGGGUGUAAAGGGAGCGUAGACGGUUGCGCAAGUCUGGAGUGAAAGGCGGGGGCCCAACCCCCGGACUGCUCUGGAAACUGUGUAACUGGAGUGCAGGAGAGGUAAGUGGAAUUCCUAGUGUAGCGGUGAAAUGCGUAGAUAUUAGGAGGAACACCAGUGGCGAAGGCGGCUUUCUGGACUGAAACUGACGCUGAGGCACGAAAGCGUGGGGAGCGAACAGGAUUAGAUACCCGCGUAA